AUGCGCGAUCAUAGCAGCACUAAAGCACCGGAUCCCAUCAGAACUCCGAAGUUAAGCUUGCUUGGGCGAGAGUAGUACUAGGAUCUGUGACCUCAUGGGAUGUCCUCGUGUUGCAUCGC
This is a non-coding RNA of Oryza punctata, 119 nucleotides long. The record is from Rfam. NCBI's taxonomy places the organism in Eukaryota, Viridiplantae, Streptophyta, Magnoliopsida, Poales, Poaceae.